This is a long non-coding RNA of Monodelphis domestica (gray short-tailed opossum), 770 nucleotides long. RefSeq lists it as uncharacterized. The record is from RefSeq and is a predicted model, not a curated record. Lineage: Eukaryota; Metazoa; Chordata; Mammalia; Didelphimorphia; Didelphidae.
UAAAAAAUUAAUAGAUCUCUAAUGGCAAUGAAACAAUUGAAAAAAUGUCUGUUCAGAAAGAUCAUUCUUCUCUGCUGCAGGGAUCAGUUGCAUCCUAGCUUGAAGGGAAAAAAAAACCAGCUAUACCUCCUAGCAGGACUGAACCUCUAGCCUCUCAUCCCAAACAGGAGCCUUGAAGUUGCACUGAGAUCAUAAAGACCAGUUGUCCUUUGACCUCCUGAAAGUCAUCUCCAGGAUAUUUCAGGCAGUAUUAGAUCAAGGAACUCAGAGCUAGAGUUAAAUAAUGCUUCACUCCCUGGAGUUAUAUUUCUACUUCUGAACAAAAGUUCUGUGGACUGGGGAACAAACAUUGCAACUACUCUGGAAAGAGAAAUGUUCAAUAAUAUUACAUUGGAUCCAAAACACAUUCCCCAAAAUGGCAGGCUCUGAAUCAUUUAUCAGCACUCAUCAUGGUAUGCCAAGUUUGAUGUCAAGAAGAUACCUUCCCUAGCUCUAUCUCCCAAGGCAUGUCACUUAACCUCCUACCUACUAAGUUUCUUCAUCUGAAAAAUGUUUAUAGUCUAUCUUUCAAAAGGGUUGUUGUAUCAAAUAAUCACUCUGGAAAUUUAAUCUGUGCUUGUAACUCAUUCCCUAUCAUUUAGUUCCACUCAGAACUUCAGUUUUAAGAAAGAAUCCAGGCCAACUAUGUCCUUGUGCCUCUUCAGCCACCCCCGACCUUUUCUUUUUUGCCUUCCCCCACUGGAAAAUAAAUUUCUUAAGGACAGAGACAA